Molecule: long non-coding RNA, 1330 nt
Organism: Prinia subflava (tawny-flanked prinia)
Lineage: Eukaryota; Metazoa; Chordata; Aves; Passeriformes; Cisticolidae
Exons: 5
Source: RefSeq, a predicted model, not a curated record
CAGGUCUUUCCUUUCCUGGCUUGUUUAGAGCAUCCCUGUGAGCAGCAGGACCUCCUGGCCUGGCAGGAGCAGGAGGGAGUGCUGUCCCACUUCAGAGGAAAUUCCCACUGGGAUUUCUGCAGUGAUUUCAACAUCAGGAACAAAGCACACGAACUCCAUGUCACAUAAACUCUGCUAAGGGAAUCCCAACAAACUUGCCACGGGAAGGAGCAUUUAUUGGUGAGGCAUUGCCAAAUCCCCCGGAGCUGUCCAUGCACAAAGGGGUUGGGUCAUCCCCGUGCAGCCCCACAGCUGCAGCAGGGCUUGGCACAGGGUUUCUGCUGAAGAUGAGAGGGUUUGGUCCUGCAGGAGCAGCUGCGUGGGCUUUGCAAUGCAGAUACUCAGCCGCAGACUCCAAACUGUGAAUCCCUAUUCCUGGACUCUGAGCUCCUGAGGUUGAUUUUACCACUUCAAUAAGAAGGGAAAAUUUCGUGGAUUGGUAGCAGAAGCAAGUGAUAUGAAAGAACAUCUUGGAUUAUGUUGCUGCAAAUGAGAGGUUUCAGUCAUGGUACUGGAUGAGCUGCAGGUAAGCAGUGGGUUUAAUGUCAGCUUUUUUGGCAGCUUCUUUAUUCUCUCUCCACUUUGCACAAACAAACUGCCUUUGUGAGGAAGUUCAUUUUCCUUUUUAGCCAAGCAUUUGUCAACAUAGCUUCCCAAUAAUCCUCUCCAUGCAGAUAAAAGAGAGCUGGCAGCCACACCGGAGCCCUCAUCUCAAGCCUGCUGCCCACUCUGGUUCAUUAAGGGAUUUUCCCCUCUCUUGCAGGGCAGAAGCUGUGCCCACAUGAAGAAUCCUAAAUCCCAGUGUGACACUCAGUUACCCUUUACUCCAUCCUAAUCAGCCCUGUGCAAUUAAGGUGCCAGGGAACAAAACCCCAGGCCCCAGAGGGUGUGGGAUGUAAGGCCUUUCUGCCUUCAUUAGGCAGUCUGGGGCAUCAUCAACCAAAUUCUAGUCCAGGAUAUAGGGAGGGUAAGAGAAACUUCAGAUCCCUUGGGCUGCCUCUGUCCUUCCCAUGUUCAUUUUUUUGGUCUCGGAAGGCUCUCGGACCAAAGUAUCACUUUAUAUUAAAAACAUAUACCACAAAGCCCUUCAGAUCAAAGCCUGACACGGGCCAGGCUCCCACCCUGGUGGAAUCCCUGCCCAGGAUUCUCACUGCCACAGUUUAGCCAGUGAAGGCAGGAGAAGGGGCUGACUGUGCCAGGGAAGCAGCACCUCCUUUCCCAGCCCCAUGCCCAACUGUUUCCCUUUGGUGCCUGCUGGUUUGGAGGACUUCAACCUGCAGCCUCCUUAACA